AUAUCAGUCAUGCAUAGCAUAUCAAUAAGCGGAGGAAAAGAAACUAACAAGGAUUCCCUUAGUAACGGCGAGUGAAGCGGGAAGAGCUCAAAUUUGAAAUCUUCAAGGUUUUACCUUGACGAAUUGUAGUUUAAAGAAGUGUUUUCUGUUGAAGUUUUGGUAAAAGUUCUUUGGAAUAGGACAUCAUAGAGGGUGAGAAUCCCGUAUUUGACCAUUACUUUCAGCUUUGUGAUACACUUUCAAAGAGUCGGAUUGUUUGGGAAUGCAGUCCAAAAUGGGUGGUAAAUUUCAUCUAAAGCUAAAUAUUGGCGAGAGACCGAUAGCGAACAAGUACCGUGAGGGAAAGAUGAAAAGAACUUUGAAAAGAGAGUUAAACAGUACGUGAAAUUGUCAAAAGGGAAGCGUUUGACACCAGUGUUGUUUUCUCGAAAAUCAAUUAAAAAGAGUUGGAUUUUGUGUUGUAUUGACUUUAUCAGCUUUCUUCACUCUCUUCCAGCUUUUUUUAAUGCACUUUUCGUUUAACAAGUCAACAUCAGUUUCUUUUGUUGUAAAAAGGUCAUUGGAAGGUGGCUUUCUCUUCGGAGAAAGUGUUUAUAGCCUUUGACUCAUGCAAUCGGAGAGACUGAGGUCUGCAGCGUAGAUCCUUCGGGGUUAGAUACAUUUGUGCUAAGUUAUAGCUUUUCAUAGACAACUUGUUGACUAUGUUUAGUCUUGUAGCUUACUCGCUUAUGCUAUUUUACCUACGCUUAGGAUGUUGAACUCUAUCACACACAG
RNAcentral lists this ribosomal RNA (774 nucleotides) under uncultured Neocallimastigales. Its description in RNAcentral is "partial large subunit ribosomal RNA". It matches the Rfam family "Eukaryotic large subunit ribosomal RNA", at positions 22 to 621 of the family's 3401-position model. Lineage: Eukaryota; Fungi; Neocallimastigomycota; Neocallimastigomycetes; Neocallimastigales. The record is from RNAcentral.